Molecule: ribosomal RNA, 253 nt
Filed under: uncultured bacterium
Lineage: Bacteria
Description: partial 16S ribosomal RNA
Rfam family: Bacterial small subunit ribosomal RNA
Source: RNAcentral
UACGUAGGGCGCAAGCGUUGUCCGGAAUUAUUGGGCGUAAAGGGCGCGUAGGCGGCGCCGCAAGUCGACUGUGAAAUCUCCGGGCUUAACCCGGAAAGGUCAGCCGAUACUGCGGGGCUAGAGUGCAGAAGGGGCAACUGGAAUUCUCGGUGUAGCGGUGAAAUGCGUAGAUAUCGAGAGGAACACCUGCGGCGAAGGCGGGUUGCUGGGCUGACACUGACGCUGAUGCGCGAAAGCUAGGGGAGCGAACGGG